RNAcentral lists this long non-coding RNA (1176 nucleotides) under Gouania willdenowi (blunt-snouted clingfish). Its description in RNAcentral is "lncRNA (ENSGWIG00000002960.1)". Lineage: Eukaryota; Metazoa; Chordata; Actinopteri; Blenniiformes; Gobiesocidae. The record is from RNAcentral.
GCUAUUAACAGAAGUCAAUUAGAAUCUCAUUACAUUUCCAGUCAUACAGUAACAGCAGUGCAUUGUGGUCAAGAUAAUUGUGCCAAAGCAUGUUGGUGUGGUGCAUAAAGUUCUUCAAACUUUCAGCCUCGAAGGAGAAAAUCGAGAGGAUGUAUCGCACAGACAGACAAACAAACAGACAGACAGUAGCUAAGUUAUCCUUCAGACAAUAGUUUUCACAAGAGGAAAUUACUCAGCAACACCCCACCUUAGUGCUGCAGUGUAAGAGAUGGCAUCAGUGCAGCCGUCCGACAGAGACACAUGCAGAUCUUUUUCAAGGACCAGAAGAAAGAAGAGACAUCAGAGUUGGUGAAACUCAAAAUGAAACCAAUUGUUAUCGCAGAAUGCGGCAAACAAGUUUCUCUGCACUGCAACACCUCAUCUCAGCAGGAGUUAUCGAUCAAAUAUAUGGAGUGGUCACAGGGCAAUGCGCUGUUAUGUUCUCUGGACAAUAAAGGAACAGUUACCAAAAACCUCAGCAACUCUGGGAGGGAUUUUUCCUGCAAGUAUACAAAUGGAAGCCUGUCGCUCAUCUUGGCCAAAGUGGUUCCUCUGGAGGUCAGACACUGGAAGCCAUACAGAUGCAAACAAUACUCCACCCAGGGAAUAUUGCAAGGAUAUACCAAAGUACAGCUACAAGAGUGCAAUGGCACCAUUGAAACUGUGCUGAAGACAGACGGCCCCGCCUGCACUUUCAACCAUGUUUACCCCGACGGAGAUGUGCACUGGUUUUCCAACUCCCGUAACCUCUCUGAUUGGUCUCCGCAUAACACAACUAAACGUGUGGAUGAACAGGGUUGGUUGACCAUUCAUAGCUACUUGGAAGAGAAACACCUGCAAGGGACGUACAACUGCUCCUUGAUGAGCACCGUUUCUGGGAGACUCAUUGCCAGUGCUCUGGUUCAUCAAGCUCCAUUGACAAAGACAGUCAAAUUGUUUGAAAAAACACCCAAUAACAGCCAUCGAAUCAGAUUACUGGGGCGUACUUGGAUGGUUUCAUUGAUUUUACUUUUCUUUAUUGUCAAAAGUUAGAUCAUAUUGUUUCAAAGAAAAUUCACAACAAAAACAUGAACCAGAUGUAUGGGGUGCCUAUUGUAAAGUUGUGCAUGUUAAAAUAAACAGCAACUUUUUGCAACA